UUUUGUUGGCAAAUGGGAAAAUCUGUGAAAAUGGAAUUCACAGUGAGUUAAUGCAGAAAAAGGGGAAAUAUGCCCAACUUAUCCAGAAGAUGCGCAAAGAAGCCACAUCGGUGAGUCCUGCCCCACCACCCUCACUCCCCAUGGUGGACGCACGUGUACUCAGGGCCUGUGCUCUCUUCCCAGGACAUGUUGCAGGACACAACAAAGAUAGCAGAGAAGCCAAAGGUAGAAAGUCAGGCUCUGGCCACCUCCCUGGAAGAGUCUCUCAACGGAAAUGCUGUGCCGGAGCAUCAGCUCACACAGAAGGAGGAGAUGGAAGAAGGCUCCUUGAGUUGGAGGGUCUACCACCACUACAUCCAGGCAGCUGGAGGUUACAUGAUCUCUUGCAUAGUUUUCUUCUUCAUGGUGCUGAUCGUCUUCUUCACGAUCUUCAGCUUCUGGUGGCUGAGCUACUGGUUGGAGCAGGGCUCAGGGCUGGUGUAUGGGCUCAACACCCUGCUCCUCAUCUGUAUGGGGGUCUGCUCCUCAGGGAUUUUCACCAAGGUCACGAGGAAGGCAUCCACGGCCCUGCACAACAAGCUCUUCAACAAGGUUUUCCGCUGCCCCAUGAGUUUCUUUGACACCAUCCC
This 629-nucleotide small RNA is filed under the name Pongo abelii (Sumatran orangutan). RNAcentral describes it as "processed transcript". The record is from RNAcentral. Lineage: Eukaryota; Metazoa; Chordata; Mammalia; Primates; Hominidae.